RNAcentral lists this ribosomal RNA (457 nucleotides) under uncultured bacterium. RNAcentral's name for it is "partial 16S ribosomal RNA". It matches the Rfam family "Bacterial small subunit ribosomal RNA", at positions 29 to 523 of the family's 1533-position model. The record is from RNAcentral.
AAUGAACGCUGGCGGCAUGCCUAACACAUGCAAGUCGAACGGAGAACAGCUUGCUGUUCUUAGUGGCAAACGGGUGAGUAACGCGUGGGAAUCUACCUUUCUGUGGGGGAUAACUGGGGGAAACUUCAGCUAAUACCGCAUACGCCCGGAAACGAGGAAAGAUUUAUUGCAGAAAGAUGAGCCCGCGUCAGAUUAGGUAGUUGGUGGGGUAAUGGCCUACCAAGCCGACGAUCUGUAGCUGGUCUGAGAGGAUGAUCAGCCACACUGGGAUUGAGAUACGGCCCAGACUCCUACGGGAGGCAGCAGUGAGGAAUAUUGGACAAUGGGGGAAACCCUGAUCCAGCAAUGCCGCGUGAAUGAAGAAGGCCUUCGGGUUGUAAAAUUCUUUCACUCGUGAAGAUGAUGACGGUAGCGAGAGAAGAAGCUCCGGCUAACUCUGUGCCAGCAGCCGCCGUAA